UACUUAGGAAAGUAACUGCUGGCCAUC
This 27-nucleotide non-coding RNA is filed under the name Mus musculus (house mouse). Lineage: Eukaryota; Metazoa; Chordata; Mammalia; Rodentia; Muridae. The record is from RNAcentral.